UGAGUAACGCGUAGGAACCUGCCUUUUANAGGGGAAUAACAAUGAGAAAUCAUUGCUAAUACCGCAUAUGCCAUAAUUAUCACAUGAUAAUAGUGGGAAAGGAGCAAUUCGCUAAAAGAUGGCCUUGCGUCUGAUUAGAUAGUUGGUAAGGUAACGGCUUACCAAGUCGACGAUCAGUAGCCGGGCUGAGAGGUUGAACGGCCACAUUGGGACUGAGAUACGGCCCAGACUCCUACGGGAGGCAGCAG
This 248-nucleotide ribosomal RNA is filed under the name uncultured bacterium. Its description in RNAcentral is "partial 16S ribosomal RNA". It matches the Rfam family "Bacterial small subunit ribosomal RNA", at positions 107 to 354 of the family's 1533-position model. The record is from RNAcentral.